GGACGACGCUGGCGGCGUGCUUAACACAUGCAAGUCGAACGGAAAGGCCCUGCUUUUGUGGGGUGCUCGAGUGGCGAACGGGUGAGUUAACACGUGAGUAACCUGCCCUUGACUUUGGGAUAACUUCAGGAAACUGGGGCUAAUACCGGAUAGGAGCUCCUGCUGCAUGGUGGGGGUUGGAAAGUUUCGGCGGUUGGGGAUGGACUCGCGGCUUAUCAGCUUGUUGGUGGGGUAGUGGCUUACCAAGGCUUUGACGGGUAGCCGGCCUGAGAGGGUGACCGGCCACAUUGGGACUGAGAUACGGCCCAGACUCCUACGGGAGGCAGCAGUGGGGAAUAUUGCACAAUGGGCGGAAGCCUGAUGCAGCAACGCCGCGUGCGGGAUGACGGCCUUCGGGUUGUAAACCGCUUUCGCCUGUGACGAAGCGUGAGUGACGGUAAUGGGUAAAGAAGCACCGGCUAACUACGUG
Molecule: ribosomal RNA, 469 nt
Filed under: uncultured bacterium
Lineage: Bacteria
Description: bacterial SSU rRNA
Rfam family: Bacterial small subunit ribosomal RNA
Source: RNAcentral